AUGUCAUUGGAGGCGCUCUGCCUCACCUAUGCACCCCUGCUUCCAUCUCCCUCCACCGCCGCCCUCCCUUACGCCUCCGCAGUUCUUGGCGCCGCGGCUGUUGCCCCGCACUGGAUCGACGCACCGCUAUCGCUCUGCCGCCGCGUACAGAGAGUUCAACGCCGCAACCCCCGUCCGUUCAAUCUCGCCGCCAUGGGUGUGCCCCACUCCAACUCCCUCGCUUGUGCUUCCGUGGUGAAACAGUGCAACCUGCAGGAGGAACUCUCUNNNNNNNNNNNNNUCCAACUCGGCAGUCCAAAUCGGCAUGAUUCACGUCAUCGUUGGCCCCAUGUUCGCUGGCAAGACCACCGCGCUUCUCUGGCAGCACCGACAGCACCAUGCUCAGUCCAACCCCGUGGCUUCAGGGUGGCCGAGUUUGUCGUGACCAUCAGUUCGGAGGCCUGCAUCACUGCGCGUGUCGCUACCAUGCCCCCCUGUGUCACUGCAUGCUCCGUCAACAGCCUCCUGCACAAGGAAAAGCAACAGGAGUAG
Molecule: ribosomal RNA, 531 nt
Filed under: Triticum aestivum (bread wheat)
Lineage: Eukaryota; Viridiplantae; Streptophyta; Magnoliopsida; Poales; Poaceae
Description: partial small subunit ribosomal RNA
Source: RNAcentral